CUACGGAGGGUGCAAGCGUUGUCCGGAUUUAUCGGGUUUAAAGGGUGCGUAGGUGGCGUGUUAAGUCAGUGGUGAAAGCCUGCAGCUCAACUGUAGAGGUGCCAUUGAUACUGACAUGCUUGAGUAUGGACGAGGUAGGCGGAAUUUGUGGUGUAGCGGUGAAAUGCAUAGAUACCACAAAGAACACCGAUAGCGAAGGCAGCUUACUGGACCAUAACUGACACUGAGGCACGAAAGUGUGGGUAGCGAACAGGAUUAGAUACCCUAGUAGUCC
RNAcentral lists this ribosomal RNA (274 nucleotides) under uncultured bacterium. RNAcentral describes it as "partial 16S ribosomal RNA". It matches the Rfam family "Bacterial small subunit ribosomal RNA", at positions 523 to 796 of the family's 1533-position model. The record is from RNAcentral.